GCCGAAGUAAGCUCUGUUUCUCGAGAACUAGUUAGGUGUUUAGUCUGAUCUAGAGAGGCUAGCUCGAUAGUUUAGAAGUGUAUCAGGUGUAUUAUCUCGCUUGUUGUCCUCCCAGCUCUACCUCUCUAAGGUUUAGAAUCUUCAUGUGUCACUUGGUCAUUGCUUGGCCAUUUAUCUCACUACCUAUCUGGCUUACCCCCGUCUAGUCAGUCGGUCGAUUAAGCUAGUAUGGUUAUCAAUCGAUUUAUGAUACUCUUUACCAUAGUGCUUCCCUGUGGAAAAAUACGAUACCCUGGAAUACUCCAAGGUGAAGUGCUACAACGGUGAUUCUGUGUGCUUGCAGAAUAUCUAUUCUAAUCGGGCAUAAGAAACGCCAACAGACAUCAAUACGAGGCAAGUGGAUUUCUCAAUCAGGGCGCACACAUUCGCUCCAAGGUACGCUAUACCUAGUGUUGUACAUGUUUUAAAGCCGUCCGCAGAGUUCAGACAGGAGGGGUUCCUACUUGAGUAUAUGGCCAAUUUGGAUUCGUGCUGAUGUUCUUCCACUGGGCGACCCAACGGCAAUCCAGUUAGCCGCGAGCACGAACGCAUCGAGCAACUUUCCACUCCGAUACACACUGUACCCACAACCCCAAGGUUACCAUGGUGCGGGGACUUCUAGACAAGGAUGUGGACAAGGAGGUGGACAUGAAGCACUUCGUCUGCAAGUACGUAUGGUUCCAUUUGUCUAUACAUUGCCCUAACUACAUACUUUAGCACCAAAAUAAUCCGUAAGCUGUAAUACCUCAUGCACAUUCUCAUGCAGAUCUGAUUGAAGAAGAAGAUUCGCCUCCUCAAGACAAACGGGGAUCUGGUUCCAUCGAAGUAAUGGAGACACCACUGAGCACACCAUCGGAUCACACACAGCCAAUGGACAUAGCGGAGGACGACCAGGAAGAAUCCAACCACGACGAAGACGAAGAAUUACUAUGCUCUGGAGAAUAAUAAUUACAAAGAUGAGGAGACACUGGAAGCGGCAAGCACUCAAGAAAGUUGUGCCUGAUGCCACGACUAUGUGCCCAUCCUCUGUCGUACCCAUGGAGCAACACCGUUGUCGCCGCCGUGAGACUCUCGUUGCAUAAUGUGUGCUUGAAUCAUUUCGCUUUGUAUGUGAUAGUAAGAACUAGUAGCUAGUUGUAUGGAUUGAAUGUUAUGUUUGUUGUAAUGUAUGGGCUUCUAUCAUUUACCGUGCGGAUGUAAUGUAUGGACACGUAAUUUUCGCCCCUAGUAUGGACUUCUAUCUUAGUAAUACGCGUAUGGUAUAAAUUUCAGCUUUUUU
Molecule: long non-coding RNA, 1318 nt
Organism: Panicum virgatum (switchgrass)
Lineage: Eukaryota; Viridiplantae; Streptophyta; Magnoliopsida; Poales; Poaceae
Exons: 3
Source: RefSeq, a predicted model, not a curated record